RNAcentral lists this ribosomal RNA (508 nucleotides) under uncultured bacterium. RNAcentral's name for it is "partial 16S ribosomal RNA". It matches the Rfam family "Bacterial small subunit ribosomal RNA", at positions 30 to 523 of the family's 1533-position model. The record is from RNAcentral.
AUUGAACGCUGGCGGCAUGCCUUACACAUGCAAGUCGAACGGCAGCGGGGGAGAAGCUUGCUUUUCCUGCCGGCGAGUGGCGAACGGGUGAGUAAUACAUCGGAACGUGCCCUGUAGUGGGGGAUAACUAGUCGAAAGAUUAGCUAAUACCGCAUACGACCUGAGGGUGAAAGUGGGGGACCGCAAGGCCUCAUGCUAUAGGAGCGGCCGAUGUCUGAUUAGCUAGUUGGUGGGGUAAAGGCCUACCAAGGCGACGAUCAGUAGCUGGUCUGGGAGGACGAUCAGCCACACUGGGACUGAGACACGGACCAGACUCCUACGGGAGGCAGCAGUGGGGAAUUUUGGACAAUGGGCGAAAGCCUGAUCCAGCAAUGCCGCGUGUGUGAAGAAGGCCUUCGGGUUGUAAAGCACUUUUGUCCGGAAAGAAAUGGCUCUGGUUAAUACCUGGGGUCGAUGACGGUACCGGAAGAAUAAGGACCGGCUAACUACGUGCCAGCCGCCGCAGUAA